AUGUCCUGUUGAGCAGGGGUACAAUUUUGUUUCAGUUAGAAUAGUUCAAUUAUCUCUUCAUGAAAUGCAAGAGGGGUAUGAUAGAAAAACUCAAUGGACUCUGCUAAAAAUCUUCUCUACCUUAGCACAGUCGAAAAUCAUAAAAACAAAUUGUUAGUGUUAGAUUACUCUUUGAUUCUACUAUGUCUCACCUUAUCUUUUUGCCCUUGUUCUUCUGAUACCAUAACUAUUCACAAACCCAUAAGAGAUGGUGAACUUCUCAUUUCUAAAUCUAAAACAUUUGCUCUUGGAUUCUUCACUCCAGGAAAGUCCACCUCUCGCUAUGUUGGAAUCUGGUACAACAAUUUGCCGAUCCAAACUGUUGUUUGGGUUGCAAAUAGAGAUGCUCCCAUCAAUGACACUUCUGGAAUUCUAUCAAUCAACCAAAAUGGGAAUCUAGAACUCCACCACAACCUUAGCACCAUUCCCAUUUGGUCUACCAAUGUUUCAUUAACACAGUCACAAAGAAAUAACACCAAUGUUAUAGCUCAACUAUUGGAUAUAGGAAACCUUGUUCUGAGGUUAAACGACACCGAAACUGCCAUCUGGGAAAGCUUUGAUCAUCCCACAGACACAAUGCUUCCGUAUCAAAAGAUUGGUUUUGAUAGAAAAAUUAAUCAAAGUUGGGUCCUUCAAUCCUGGAAGACAGAUGAUGACCCUGGAAAAGGUGCGUUCACGGUGAAAUUCAGCACCAUUGGCAAACCACAAUUGUUUAUGUACAACCAUGAUCGUCCUUGGUGGCGUGGUGGACAUUGGAAUGGAGCAAUAUUAGUAGGCCUACCUCAUAUGAUAGGAGAUAUGGCAGUUCGUAAUGUUUCUUGGGUUGAAGAUGACAACUAUGUAUCACUCUCAUAUAACAUGUUUAAUAAGUCUGUCAUUACAAGGAUAGUGGUUCAGCAAUCUGGUUUCUUUCAAACAUUCAUGUGGGACAGUCAAGAGAGUCAAUGGAGCCGGUACUGGUCUGAACCAACAGACCAAUGUGCUAACUACGGAACAUGUGGACCAAACAGUAAUUGUGACCCUUUGAACUUUGAGAGCUUUAAGUGUACUUGUUUACUUGGUUUUGAACCAAAAUUUCCACGUGAUUGGUAUGAGAGUAGAGAUGGGUUGGGAGGAUGUGUAAGAAAAAGAGGUGCAUCUGUUUGUGGGAAUGGAGAAGGGUUUAACAAAGUUUUAAGGGUGAAAGUUCCUGAUAUAUCUGGGGCAGUUGCCAUAGAUGGUUUGACUUUGGAAGAAUGUGAGAAAGAUUGCUUGAGAAACUGUUCUUGUAAUGCCUAUGCAGUUGCUGAUGUGAGGAAUGGUGGUAGUGGAUGUUUGACGUGGCAUGGGAAUUUAAUGGACAUUCAAAAACUUAGUAAUCAGGGCCAAGAUUUAUUUUUGCGCGUCGAGAAAGUUGAACUUGGUAAGAUAUUCCCUCCUACUGUUUUUUUUUUUUUUUGUUUAUAAAUUUGACACCACUUUUAAGUGUAGUUUAAACUUCUUUGGACUUGUUUUUUCUUAUCAGCUAAUUACAACAAAAAAAGCAAAGGAGUCCUUGAUAAAAAGAGGUUAGCUGCAAUUCUUGUAGCUUCUAUAGUUGCAAUUGUCAUCCUCCUCUUCUGUGUGAAUUACAUGUGGAAGAAAAAGAGAAAGGGNCCAAGAUUCAAGGCUGAAAAUAAUUCAUAGAGAUCUAAAAGCCAGCAAUGUUCUCCUUGACGCUGCAAUGAAUCCCAAAAUCUCAGAUUUUGGUAUGGCUAGAAUAUUUGGAGAAGAUGAAAUCCAAGCAAGAACAAAAAGAGUGGUCGGAACAUAGUAUGUGUCACACACUUAUAUCACGAAAAUAUACAGAUGGAUAUGUAUUUUUAUGAUACUCUAACCAUUUUGUUUAAUUGCAGUGGAUAUAUGUCACCAGAAUAUGCAAUGGAAGGACGAUAUUCAACAAAAUCUGAUGUCUUCAGUUAUGGGGUCUUACUACUGGAGAUUAUUGCUGGCAAGAGAAACACACAUUGUGAAAUUGGAAGAGACUCCCCAAAUUUAAUUGGACAUGUAAGUUACAUAUAAUAAAAAGAGUAGCCUUAAAAUUGGCCAACAAUCUAAUGAUGCAUGACAUGACAUAUUUAUUUAAAAAUUGUGUUGUGCAUUUAUAGGUGUGGACACUAUGGACAGAAGAAAGAGCCUUGGAUAUUGUUGAUCCAGCACUAAACCAGUCUUAUCCUCUUGAUAUAGUUCUGAGAUGCAUUCAAAUUGGACUUUUGUGUGUGCAAGAAAAUGCAAUUAAUAGACCAUCAAUGUUAGAAAUUGUUUUCAUGCUAUGCAAUGAAACACCUCUCUGCCCACCUCAAAAACCAGCAUUUUAUUCAAUGGCAACCAUGAAUUGCAAGAACCAUCAACAUCAGGAUCUUCAAUAAAUGAAGUAACAGAAACUACUAUCAGUGCUCGCUAAAAGAUACCUUAAUCAAAUAUGUAAAUUUUUGGUUUAUACUUUCACCUUGAAAUUUAGUUUGUAGACAUUUCUAGAGGUUCUUGAGAAACAAGUAAGUCACGUUAUGGUAUUGCAAAAGAGUGGUGAUAUUUGAACAACUAUUUGAUACAACUUUUGUGACAAUUUCUUUUUUUUCUCUUUUCAUUAGUUAAAAACAAUGGAGAGAGAAAAAGAAGAGAGAGAAUAAGAGUAUAAUGUGAGUAUGAGAGAGAAAAUUAUCAUAAAGUGGUUGUAUAAAUAUCAUUUCUCACUGUAAAAUGAAUAAUUUGAGUAUGUCUCCAUUUCAAUAAGCUUAUCGGUUAGAAGUAAUAUACAGAAAUAUAGCUGUUCAAUAGUAGUAGAGAUAGGUACAACAACUAGCGUAAACAAACGAUCGUGUUUCAUUGUCUUGGGAAAUUCUAAAGGUAAUUAAUUACUCAUAGUGAAUCCACUUAAAAAAAUCAAAUGGUUCAAUCGUUGUCAUUCAAUAUUAAAAACUAAUUAAUAAAUACUUCUAUUGCAAAUAUAGUCAUUAUAAAAAAAAACAAACUAAAAAUUAUAUGGCUUAAUUGCACUUUUUGCACCCUAUCUUUUCAAAAGUUGCGAUUUUGGCCCUCUAACUAAUUAAAAUACAAAACAGCCCCCUAUUUAUUGAAUCUUUGGCAGUUUUGGCCCCCAAAGUCACUUUUAACUUAGUCUGCGCUGACGUGGCACCCAUAUCCCUUAAGUGAGGUGCCACGUGUCGACCAUUGUGGGUGCCACGUCAGCGAAGACUAAGUCAAACGUGGUCUUGGAGACCAAAACUGCAAAAGAUUCAAUACAUAUGGGUUGUUUUGUAUUUUAAUUAGUUAGGGGUGAAAAUCGCAACUUUUGGAAAGAUAGGGGGCCAAAAGUGCAAUUAAGCCAAAUUAUAUUUCACAUAGGAAAGAGUUUAAAUAUAAACCAACCGCGUAAAUAUGUUUUACACUGUCGUUCAAAAAGAAACCAUCGUAUUGUCAUGUAUGUAUAUUUAUAACCAAUUUUUCAAAAAUAAGUUAAAUAUAUUUUCCGUCCAGACAAAAAAGAAUUGCACGGAAAUUUGGACCCUACUCUUAAUUCAACAUAUAUUUUGAUUGACUUUUUUUGCUAACAUGUUUAAAAUAUUAUAAAAAGUUCCUAUAAAAAUAUGAGCUUAAAAAUUGAUUUCUAGGUCGAGAUUUGUAUUACUUUUAUUAUGAAUUUUUGACGUUUCAUAAUCAUAUUUAAUUCAUUUGAUGUUAAAAAAAUUUAGAUGAAUAUUUUAUAAUACACAUCCAAAAAAAAAAUUCAAAAAUUUAGUUUUUGAAAAAAUAAAACUGCAAGUAGGAGUACUCAUGAACAUAGCUCGAUUGGUAAGAAUAUUGCAUAAUAUAUACAAGAGUCGGAGUUCAAAGCUCUAACACCUUACUUAUUCACCUUAUAAGAGAAUUUCUAGCCACCAAACUAUUUAAAAAAAAAAAAAAAACUGCUAGAAAAUUUGUUUAGAAAUGAAAAUGUGCCGCAUGUAAAAAUCUUAAAACAAAAACAUAUGGGUCAAUGCUAAUCUAAACAUGUUUAGAAUAUAUGAUAGGGUCUCGCUAACUAGAGCAUUUGUUAAAGAUACAAAAAUAGAAAUAAUAAGUAAAAAAAUUUUUUUUUUAAGUUUUAAUAUAUUGAAUCCACUAUUUUCAAGAUAAAUUUUUUUCUUUAAACUUCUUAACAAAUGCGCACUUGUUAGCAUUUGACAAUUUAUGAAGAAGAAAAAUGAAAACUUGACAAAUUCGAUGGAAAAAUUUUAUAUUUAACUCUUAAACCCCAAUCUAAAAUCCUCUAAAAAAAUCCCAAUAUAAAAUGGUUUAUAGUUUUUUUUUUACCAUGUAUACUUUUUUUUGAAGAAUUUCACUUAACUCUGAAAAAAUAAUUAUUAACAAAAUUAUAAUUGCAAAAACACUCAUACCUUCUAAGUCAACAAUAUCCAAGAGUGUUCUCUCCACUCUCGCUUCUGUUGGUUGAAUCAUCAUUAGAACUUCUCCAUGUAUCGUACCUCAAGCCAUUCCCAAUGUUCAGGUACGGGUUGCAACCAAGUGGAACACCAUGUUCUCUGGACACGACGCGUGUGCUGCAAGACAGAGAAUACGCCGGCGACUGAUACUUCCCUCGCCGCACAUUUCCUUCACAAAGAACGAAGCACCGCUGGUAAUCACAGUUUCACAAGUUAGUGUUUGCACAAGGGUAAUAUGGUAAACUUCAAAUAAAUAAUAUAUAUUUAAUUUUAGAGCUUGUAUAAAACAGCUUAUGCACAUUGCUAACUGUAGUCUGCAACGACAGACCAUGACCCAUAUUGAGGUACAUUGCUAACUGCCAAGCUUAACAUGCAUGCAUAAAAAGCCUCCUUUAUUAUUAGAUUAGAUACUUACGGGUCAAAUGCAUGCAUCAAAAGCGUCCUUGUUUAUGCUUCUUAGCAUGUAGUACUAUUUUGGAAAUCAAAAUUACCAACAUGAAAACUCAUGUUUGACCAGAAACAAUAGUAAUUAUUUACCUUCUUAUGAACACAUGUUUAUUGUCUUACCACCGUGUUGAGUUGUAUUCAAUUGAAAUGAGAAUCAUCGACCUAAUAAUUUUUCAUAAUGAGGCCUAAUACAAAUUUUAAUAUAUCAUAUAUUUUUUUGUCUACAGCCCUUUUAUUUAUAAACUAUAAUAAAAAUUAUUAAUCUUUUGUUGAUAGACCUAAAACGAGGAUUUUAGUUUCCUAUCUACUUACCUGUGGUUACUUUUCUUCAUUGAUUUUAUUUUCCCACUUUCUCAUGUGUCAGUGUCACUGACCCAUUGUGUGGAAAAUAUAACAAAGCAUCAUCAUGUCCUGUUGAGCAGGGGUACAAUUUUGUUUCAGUUAGAAUAGUUCAAUUAUCUCUUCAUGAAAUGCAAGAGGGGUAUGAUAGAAAAACUCAAUGGACUCUGCUAAAAAUCUUCUCUACCUUAGCACAGUCGAAAAUCAUAAAAACAAAUUGUUAGUGUUAGAUUACUCUUUGAUUCUACUAUGUCUCACCUUAUCUUUUUGCCCUUGUUCUUCUGAUACCAUAACUAUUCACAAACCCAUAAGAGAUGGUGAACUUCUCAUUUCUAAAUCUAAAACAUUUGCUCUUGGAUUCUUCACUCCAGGAAAGUCCACCUCUCGCUAUGUUGGAAUCUGGUACAACAAUUUGCCGAUCCAAACUGUUGUUUGGGUUGCAAAUAGAGAUGCUCCCAUCAAUGACACUUCUGGAAUUCUAUCAAUCAACCAAAAUGGGAAUCUAGAACUCCACCACAAC
This 5784-nucleotide long non-coding RNA is filed under the name Medicago truncatula (barrel medic). RNAcentral's name for it is "long non-coding RNA (MTRU_LNC002205)". The stretch from base 3114 to 3313 matches the Rfam family "MIR2619 microRNA precursor family". The record is from RNAcentral. Lineage: Eukaryota; Viridiplantae; Streptophyta; Magnoliopsida; Fabales; Fabaceae.